AUUGAGGCUAGAGUCACACCCUGACAUUCUUGUUGUUUUUGGUGUGCUAUAGUUCUCGGAGAAAGACUACUGAUCUUUAUUCACUGCUUUUGGCAUUCCAUGCCAUAGUAAGUCACUAGAUCAGUAACAAGU
Elgaria multicarinata webbii is the source of this 132-nucleotide small nucleolar RNA. RefSeq annotates it as small nucleolar RNA SNORA3/SNORA45 family. NCBI's taxonomy places the organism in Eukaryota, Metazoa, Chordata, Lepidosauria, Squamata, Anguidae. The transcript has a single exon. The record is from RefSeq and is a predicted model, not a curated record.